ACGCGUUAUAAAGCAAAUUCCCGAUGGGAGGGUGGUUAACACCCGCUGCCUUGUAACCGCACAUUCAGUUAUUGAAGAUAUGGGGGAAUUAUCAAAAUG
This 99-nucleotide small RNA is filed under the name Limosilactobacillus ingluviei. RNAcentral describes it as "Lactobacillus ingluviei SAM-III sequence". It matches the Rfam family "SAM-III riboswitch aptamer (SMK box)". The record is from Rfam by way of RNAcentral. Lineage: Bacteria; Bacillati; Bacillota; Bacilli; Lactobacillales; Lactobacillaceae.